Molecule: ribosomal RNA, 2550 nt
Filed under: Escherichia coli KTE115
Lineage: Bacteria; Pseudomonadati; Pseudomonadota; Gammaproteobacteria; Enterobacterales; Enterobacteriaceae
Description: bacterial LSU rRNA
Rfam family: Bacterial large subunit ribosomal RNA
Source: RNAcentral
CUGUGAGCUCGAUGAGUAGGGCGGGACACGUGGUAUCCUGUCUGAAUAUGGGGGGACCAUCCUCCAAGGCUAAAUACUCCUGACUGACCGAUAGUGAACCAGUACCGUGAGGGAAAGGCGAAAAGAACCCCGGCGAGGGGAGUGAAAAAGAACCUGAAACCGUGUACGUACAAGCAGUGGGAGCACGCUUCGGCGUGUGACUGCGUACCUUUUGUAUAAUGGGUCAGCGACUUAUAUUCUGUAGCAAGGUUAACCGAAUAGGGGAGCCGAAGGGAAACCGAGUCUUAACUGGGCGUUAAGUUGCAGGGUAUAGACCCGAAACCCGGUGAUCUAGCCAUGGGCAGGUUGAAGGUUGGGUAACACUAACUGGAGGACCGAACCGACUAAUGUUGAAAAAUUAGCGGAUGACUUGUGGCUGGGGGUGAAAGGCCAAUCAAACCGGGAGAUAGCUGGUUCUCCCCGAAAGCUAUUUAGGUAGCGCCUCGUGAAUUCAUCUCCGGGGGUAGAGCACUGUUUCGGCAAGGGGGUCAUCCCGACUUACCAACCCGAUGCAAACUGCGAAUACCGGAGAAUGUUAUCACGGGAGACACACGGCGGGUGCUAACGUCCGUCGUGAAGAGGGAAACAACCCAGACCGCCAGCUAAGGUCCCAAAGUCAUGGUUAAGUGGGAAACGAUGUGGGAAGGCCCAGACAGCCAGGAUGUUGGCUUAGAAGCAGCCAUCAUUUAAAGAAAGCGUAAUAGCUCACUGGUCGAGUCGGCCUGCGCGGAAGAUGUAACGGGGCUAAACCAUGCACCGAAGCUGCGGCAGCGACGCUUAUGCGUUGUUGGGUAGGGGAGCGUUCUGUAAGCCUGUGAAGGUGUACUGUGAGGUAUGCUGGAGGUAUCAGAAGUGCGAAUGCUGACAUAAGUAACGAUAAAGCGGGUGAAAAGCCCGCUCGCCGGAAGACCAAGGGUUCCUGUCCAACGUUAAUCGGGGCAGGGUGAGUCGACCCCUAAGGCGAGGCCGAAAGGCGUAGUCGAUGGGAAACAGGUUAAUAUUCCUGUACUUGGUGUUACUGCGAAGGGGGGACGGAGAAGGCUAUGUUGGCCGGGCGACGGUUGUCCCGGUUUAAGCGUGUAGGCUGGUUUUCCAGGCAAAUCCGGAAAACUAAGGCUGAGGCGUGAUGACGAGGCACUACGGUGCUGAAGCAACAAAUGCCCUGCUUCCAGGAAAAGCCUCUAAGCAUCAGGUAACAUCAAAUCGUACCCCAAACCGACACAGGUGGUCAGGUAGAGAAUACCAAGGCGCUUGAGAGAACUCGGGUGAAGGAACUAGGCAAAAUGGUGCCGUAACUUCGGGAGAAGGCACGCUGAUAUGUAGGUGAAGUCCCUCGCGGAUGGAGCUGAAAUCAGUCGAAGAUACCAGCUGGCUGCAACUGUUUAUUAAAAACACAGCACUGUGCAAACACGAAAGUGGACGUAUACGGUGUGACGCCUGCCCGGUGCCGGAAGGUUAAUUGAUGGGGUUAGCGGUAACGCGAAGCUCUUGAUCGAAGCCCCGGUAAACGGCGGCCGUAACUAUAACGGUCCUAAGGUAGCGAAAUUCCUUGUCGGGUAAGUUCCGACCUGCACGAAUGGCGUAAUGAUGGCCAGGCUGUCUCCACCCGAGACUCAGUGAAAUUGAACUCGCUGUGAAGAUGCAGUGUACCCGCGGCAAGACGGAAAGACCCCGUGAACCUUUACUAUAGCUUGACACUGAACAUUGAGCCUUGAUGUGUAGGAUAGGUGGGAGGCUUUGAAGUGUGGACGCCAGUCUGCAUGGAGCCGACCUUGAAAUACCACCCUUUAAUGUUUGAUGUUCUAACGUUGGCCCCUGAUCGGGGUUGCGGACAGUGUCUGGUGGGUAGUUUGACUGGGGCGGUCUCCUCCUAAAGAGUAACGGAGGAGCACGAAGGUUGGCUAAUCCUGGUCGGACAUCAGGAGGUUAGUGCAAUGGCAUAAGCCAGCUUGACUGCGAGCGUGACGGCGCGAGCAGGUGCGAAAGCAGGUCAUAGUGAUCCGGUGGUUCUGAAUGGAAGGGCCAUCGCUCAACGGAUAAAAGGUACUCCGGGGAUAACAGGCUGAUACCGCCCAAGAGUUCAUAUCGACGGCGGUGUUUGGCACCUCGAUGUCGGCUCAUCACAUCCUGGGGCUGAAGUAGGUCCCAAGGGUAUGGCUGUUCGCCAUUUAAAGUGGUACGCGAGCUGGGUUUAGAACGUCGUGAGACAGUUCGGUCCCUAUCUGCCGUGGGCGCUGGAGAACUGAGGGGGGCUGCUCCUAGUACGAGAGGACCGGAGUGGACGCAUCACUGGUGUUCGGGUUGUCAUGCCAAUGGCACUGCCCGGUAGCUAAAUGCGGAAGAGAUAAGUGCUGAAAGCAUCUAAGCACGAAACUUGCCCCGAGAUGAGUUCUCCCUGACUCCCUGAGAGUCCUGAAGGAACGUUGAAGACGACGACGUUGAUAGGCCGGGUGUGUAAGCGCAGCGAUGCGUUGAGCUAACCGGUACUAAUGAACCGUGAGGCUUAACCUU